ACCUGGUUGGCUCAGUCGGUAGAGUAUAAGAUUCUUGAUCUCAGGGUCAUGGGUUCAAGCCCCACAUCGGGUG
Molecule: non-coding RNA, 73 nt
Organism: Felis catus (domestic cat)
Lineage: Eukaryota; Metazoa; Chordata; Mammalia; Carnivora; Felidae
Source: Rfam